GGCCCCGUAGCUCAGAGGAUAGAGCAGAGGUUUCCUAAACCUUGUGUCGGAGGUUCGAAUCCUCCCGGGGUCG
RNAcentral lists this transfer RNA (73 nucleotides) under Propionibacteriaceae bacterium. Its description in RNAcentral is "tRNA-Arg". It matches the Rfam family "tRNA". Rfam says of the family: Transfer RNA (tRNA) molecules are approximately 80 nucleotides in length. Lineage: Bacteria; Bacillati; Actinomycetota; Actinomycetes; Propionibacteriales; Propionibacteriaceae. The record is from RNAcentral.